AGAAGAGAGGAGGAGUAAGUGGUGGGGAGACAGAUGGGGAGCUGGCAGGAACUCCGGGGGGAUCCCCAAGUCCCAUGUUAUUCUGGAAGGUUGUGCCAAGAAGGAUCUGUUGGUUGCUCUCCCUCCCAUCUGGGUCUCGCUGCACCCUAAGAAGUGACUGUCCAUCUGGGCAGGCCCAGAGCUGAUCGCUUGUGAGCCCCCUCCCUCUGCUUGGCAGACACUGAGCGAGGCCUGGGCUCUAUCCCUCAGCAAAAAACACGAGGAAGCCCUGGGCUGAUUCAGGGAACACUUGUUUGCCCUUCCUUGCUUGGCUGUCGGUGGAAGGAGAAAGGACUGUCCAGGCACUGUCCCCUGCUGAACAUAGUCCUUUGCCCUGACAUUUGGGGAUCGUGGCCUAGCUCCCAGUGGUUAAAGAUCGUAUGGCUCGAGUGUAGGACCUGACUGGAAGUACUCAGAACAAGAGCCCAGGCCUGGGUGCUGCUCUGAGAUAUGCAGGAGAAGCCUGAAGAAAGCCCUUCUGGAGUGGCAACCUGUUCCUCCCUCUGGGAAAUACCUGAGCCUGAAGCCUGCAAGGGAUCCUGGGAGGACCCAUGACAUCUGCCAGCAGCCUGGACACCUUGGUCCUGAGACCCAGGACAACUGUGUGGAGAACAGAUCUGGAAUGGAUCACUUGAUCUUGUGUAUGCUGGACAAAGGCUUCAGAUCCAACCAUUUCAAUUUGACAAACACCAUCACAUCUCACGACAUCGUCCUCCACAAAGAAAUCCUGCGUUCCAUCCUAACAAAUACCUGUGCUAUACUGCACUGUUCCGCUUGCCUCCUGCCCUGCCUCCUUUGGUUUCUUCGACAGCCUUCCCUGGAGUCACUGCCUUCUACACAGUGCCUAAGAGCAAGCCCAUGAAACAUUCAUGGCCCCACAUGGUGGGAGAACCAAGUUCUACAAGUUGUCUUCGAACUUCUACAUGGGCCAUGGUGCACCUGGUCACAUAUUCAAUAAAUAAGUAUAAUUCUAAAU
Molecule: long non-coding RNA, 1015 nt
Organism: Mus musculus (house mouse)
Lineage: Eukaryota; Metazoa; Chordata; Mammalia; Rodentia; Muridae
Product: RIKEN cDNA 4933429K18 gene
Exons: 3
Source: RefSeq, marked validated